CUAAAUGUAACACCCCGUAUUUUUAUACCCGUUUUAGUAAUUAGUUACAUUAAUUUAUUUUAGGAAAAUAAUUUCAAAUGUCUUUUAUUUAAAAAUAUAUUUCGUUUACUAGCUUUGGCUUUAUCUUUGAAGUGGUCAAAAACAAAUUCCUAGAUUUACUAGAUUUACUAUCUAGUGCAUAUCACUAUAUUAAUAUAAGGAGAGAGAAAGUAAAAAUAAAAAAUAAAAGAAAGUCUUCAUCUCCUCAUCUAACCUACGUGCAGUAGCUUUAAAAAAAAAAAGGACGAAGCCUUCCUCACACUGAUCAUCUUCUUCUCCAUUUAUUUUUCCCUUAUUUUUGACUCAAUAUCCUAAAUUCACAAAUUUUGUUCAACUUUCUUCACAAUUCAACCUUCCUUCAUCUACCUUUUAUAAUACUUAGAUAUUGUGAGUAUUUCAAAGAGGGAAAAAUUGGGUUUUAUUUUGGACGUUUUUGGGACGAACUUCGGAUCGAAAGUGCGAUUUCGGGUCUCUUAUUGUGUAAUUUUAUCUUCCCCUAAUCAAAUUGCGGGUUCAUAGAGGAACCUUUUUGACUUGAGAUUGAGAUACACUGACUGUGUUUGCUACUAAGGGACUUGAAGAUAGUUAGCUCCAGUUGGGUUAAAGAGUGCGUUGGAUCCCUUUUGAUUUAUAGGACUUUUAAAAAGACUUCCGCUCUUAUUUAUCUAUAAGAUUUAUGUUCUGGUUUGUAAUAAUUAUUUUACAUUCUAUUUAGUUGGUCUGUAAUAACUAGUUAAAAAUUUUGGUUAUUGUUUUGGUUAGAACCAUUAGCCUUGCGGUUAUUAUUAAUAAUUAUCACGGCGUAGCAUCUUUGGAUUUC
Molecule: long non-coding RNA, 859 nt
Organism: Beta vulgaris subsp. vulgaris (sugar beet)
Lineage: Eukaryota; Viridiplantae; Streptophyta; Magnoliopsida; Caryophyllales; Amaranthaceae
Exons: 3
Source: RefSeq, a predicted model, not a curated record